RNAcentral lists this ribosomal RNA (253 nucleotides) under uncultured bacterium. RNAcentral's name for it is "partial 16S ribosomal RNA". It matches the Rfam family "Bacterial small subunit ribosomal RNA", at positions 524 to 776 of the family's 1533-position model. The record is from RNAcentral.
UACAGAGGUGGCAAGCGUUGUUCGGAAUUACCGGGCGUAAAGGGCGCGUAGGCGGUUCGUUAAGUCCUGUGUGAAAUCCCCCGGCUCAACUGGGGAACUGCACAGGAAACUAGCGGGCUUGAGUUCGGGAGAGGGAAGCGGAAUUCCGGGUGUAGCGGUGAAAUGCGUAGAUAUCCGGAGGAACACCGGUGGCGAAGGCGGCUUCCUGGACCGACACUGACGCUGAGGCGCGAAAGCUAGGGGAGCAAACGGG